RNAcentral lists this ribosomal RNA (496 nucleotides) under uncultured bacterium. Its description in RNAcentral is "partial 16S ribosomal RNA". It matches the Rfam family "Bacterial small subunit ribosomal RNA", at positions 28 to 506 of the family's 1533-position model. The record is from RNAcentral.
GAUGAACGCUGGCGGCGUGCCUAAUACAUGCAAGUCGAGCGAACGGACGAGAAGCUUGCUUCUCUGAUGUUAGCGGCGGACGGGUGAGUAACACGUGGAUAACCUACCUAUAAGACUGGGAUAACUUCGGGAAACCGGAACUAAUACCGGAUGAUAUUUUGAACCGCAUGGUUCAAAAGUGAAAGACGGUCUUGCUGUCACUUAUAGAUGGAUCCGCGCUGCAUUAGCUAGUUGGUAAGGUAACGGCUUACCAAGGCAACGAUGCAUAGCCGACCUGAGAGGGUGAUCGGCCACACUGGAACUGAGACACGGUCCAGACUCCUACGGGAGGCAGCAGUAGGGAAUCUUCCGCAAUGGGCGAAAGCCUGACGGAGCAACGCCGCGUGAGUGAUGAAGGUCUUCGGAUCGUAAAACUCUGUUAUUAGGGAAGAACAUAUGUGUAAGUAACUGUGCACAUCUUGACGGUACCUAAUCAGAAAGCCACGGCUAACUACGU